This is a long non-coding RNA of Triticum aestivum (bread wheat), 946 nucleotides long. RefSeq lists it as uncharacterized. The transcript has 2 exons. Lineage: Eukaryota; Viridiplantae; Streptophyta; Magnoliopsida; Poales; Poaceae. The record is from RefSeq and is a predicted model, not a curated record.
UCCCGUGACAAUAGGUAUCUUCGUUACCCAUUAAUACCUAGCUAGCCAGGCCGGCUCGGCCGACGUCGGCGCUCACCGGCGGAAUCAAUCAUUGGUGAUCUCCGGUGGAUUUAAUCCACAAGAUACAUCAGCGUGCAGCUCAUCUUAUGGCCAUCGAAGCACAUCCUACUGAGAGCACCUCAACCGGCUGAUGGAUCAGAGAGCACGACACAACCGGACUUGAGGUUGAUUGGAAUCUGGGGUCAACGAUCUGUUCUUGAACUUUUUGUGCAUGCCCGGCUAGAUCUGCAACAUAUUUCUAUCCAUUGAUCAUAAUCCUCUUGCUUUGCUUCCAGAUCUGAAAUAAGAAUAUACGGUCCCUUUGAGGAGAUGGGUCUCAUCGUUUGCUGAUGUUAAUUCUGUGAACGGAAGAAUAUUUGUGUGGUCUAUGGUUGUCACUGGAGGCAUGCGGCUUAGGGCGUCUAGAACGGAAGAAUCAAUUCAGUGGCUUCUGGUGGUCAGUUGAGGGUGGCAACAUCAUGCGUGGUGUGCCUGUCGAUCUCCAACGUAUUCUCACGGUCAUAUGGCCAGCGGCACCCAGCUAGCCGUAAACUGAUUACUGGUAUACUUCUUAAUUACUUCUGCUAGUGGAUAAAUGAUCAAAUGUACCCAGCUGUUGUUUCGUCUUGGGAAAUUGGUAUACCCAGCAAAAGGAACAGUAGCUCCGGUUGCUAAUUUACUGUGUAGAAACUACUAAUUUUAUUAAAGCUAGAGGAUCCUACCUGUUUAGUUGUCGAAGAGUACACUACCUUGCUCCCUUUAUGUUAGUAUCAGUUUACUCAACUUGCUGCUUUAAUUUUCUAUUUGUAAAAGGGCAUAUGCACUUCCCUCUUCAACGAGUGCUUCAUUUUGCUUUGCAGAAGCCUUAUGUGCUUGAUGCUAUAUAAAAAGAAUUUAAUACCCCCAA